GAUCUAGUUAGGUCCAACCAUUAACAUGACUUGAAUUGGUGAAUCAGACCAAUAAAUGAUCAGGCCCGACUUUGACCGGCCAACCUGACCACCAUCAGAAAGACUCAAACCAAAUUAUCAUACUAUGAAUGAUAAUUCCAUUAGUCAAUAAGCACCAGGCCUUUGGGCCUCCAAUGAUUAUUAAACUAAUGGACUCAUUAUCACUCACUUAAUGGAAGGCUAUGAUUUAGUUAUCAAUAUAACUUAAUCAUUUUUAGGGACCUAAUAAU
This 269-nucleotide long non-coding RNA is filed under the name Elaeis guineensis (African oil palm). RNAcentral's name for it is "long non-coding RNA (EGUI_LNC059372)". Lineage: Eukaryota; Viridiplantae; Streptophyta; Magnoliopsida; Arecales; Arecaceae. The record is from RNAcentral.